Molecule: ribosomal RNA, 469 nt
Filed under: uncultured bacterium
Lineage: Bacteria
Description: partial 16S ribosomal RNA
Rfam family: Bacterial small subunit ribosomal RNA
Source: RNAcentral
GACGAACGCUGGCGGCGUGCUUAACACAUGCGAGUCGAACGGAAAGGCUCCAGCUUGCUGGCGUACUCGAGUGGCGAACGGGUGAGUAACACGUGGGUGAUCUGCCCUGCACUUCGGGAUAAGCCUGGGAAACUGGGUCUAAUACCGGAUAGGACCGCACUUUGGUGUGUGUGGUGGAAAGGUUUUUCUGGUGUGGGAUGAGCUCGCGGCCUAUCAGUUUGUUGGUGGGGUAAUGGCCUACCAAGACGGCGACGGGUAGCCGGCCUGAGAGGGUGGACGGGCCCAUUGGGGCGUGGGACCGGGCCCAGCCCCCUCGGGGGGGCGGGCGGGGGGAGAUUGGACAAAGGGGGAAACCCCUGAUGCAGGGCCCCCGGGGGGGGGAGGAGGGCUUUGGGGUUGUAAGCCCCUUUCGCUGGGGACGAUGCUUUUUGUGCCGUUCCUGGGAAAAGAAGCCCCGGCUAACUCCGUC